AGUGAACGCUGGCGGUAGGCCUAACACAUGCAAGUCGAACGGCAGCACAGUAAGAGCUUGCUCUUACGGGUGGCGAGUGGCGGACGGGUGAGGAAUACAUCGGAAUCUACUUUUUCGUGGGGGAUAACGUAGGGAAACUUACGCUAAUACCGCAUACGACCUACGGGUGAAAGCAGGGGAUCAUCGGACCUUGCGCGAUUGAAUGAGCCGAUGUCGGAUUAGCUAGUUGGCGGGGUAAAGGCCCACCAAGGCGACGAUCCGUAGCUGGUCUGAGAGGAUGAUCAGCCACACUGGAACUGAGACACGGUCCAGACUCCUACGGGAGGCAGCAGUGGGGAAUAUUGGACAAUGGGCGCAAGCCUGAUCCAGCCAUACCGCGUGGGUGAAGAAGGCCUUCGGGUUGUAAAGCCCUUUUGUUGGGAAAGAAAAGCAGCAGGUUAAUACCCCGCUGUUCCGACGGUACCCAAAGAAUAAGCACCGGCUAACUUCGUG
RNAcentral lists this ribosomal RNA (492 nucleotides) under uncultured bacterium. RNAcentral describes it as "partial 16S ribosomal RNA". It matches the Rfam family "Bacterial small subunit ribosomal RNA", at positions 29 to 507 of the family's 1533-position model. The record is from RNAcentral.